UACGUAGGGUGCAAGCGUUAAUCGGAAUUACUGGGCGUAAAGCGUGCGCAGGCGGUGAUGUAAGACAGGUGUGAAAUCCCCGGGCUUAACCUGGGAACUGCAUUUGUGACUGCAUCGCUGGAGUGUGGCAGAGGGGGAUGGAAUUCCGCGUGUAGCAGUGAAAUGCGUAGAUAUGCGGAGGAACACCGAUGGCGAAGGCAAUCCCCUGGGCCUGCACUGACGCUCAUGCACGAAAGCGUGGGGAGCAAACAGG
RNAcentral lists this ribosomal RNA (253 nucleotides) under uncultured bacterium. RNAcentral's name for it is "partial 16S ribosomal RNA". It matches the Rfam family "Bacterial small subunit ribosomal RNA", at positions 524 to 776 of the family's 1533-position model. The record is from RNAcentral.